CCACCCAUCUCCUACGACACCCCCUCUCUGUCACCACCGCCAUCCUCCCCGCACACAAAGCACUGCAAUGAGCUGAAUUCAGAGUGCCGAAGAAAACAGCGAAACACCUCCGGAGGCGGAGAAGGAACGGCCAUGGAAGGAUACAAAGCGCAGCCUUCCGCUCCCCUCCAGUGACAGCCCCAGAGCGGCUCCUGCAGCGGGGACCCACCUGGAUGCACCCGCACAUCCCCGCAUCCCCCGAGCGGCGAUCCCGGGGGGGAUGCGAGGCGUCGAUCCCCGUUAACCGCAGCGGCGACUGAGCCCUUCCUUGUGGGAAGCGCCUCCCGAGCGUGAUGGGAACCACAGAAGCCACCCUGCGGAUGGAGAAUGUGGAUGUGAAGGAGGAGUGGCAGGACGAGGACUUCCCCAGGCCUCUCCCAGAAGAGACUGGCAUGGAGUCGCUGGGCAGCCCUACAGAGGACGAGCACACAUCCUCUCCCCCACAUACCUUAAACUUUAACGGGGCGCACCGUAAGCGGAAGACGCUUGUCGCACCUGAAAUCAACAUUUCCCUGGACCAGAGUGAAGGCUCCAUUCUGUCCGAUGACUUCUUGGACACGCCAGAUGAUCUGGAUAUCAACGUGGAUGACAUCGAAACGCCCGACGAGACGGAUUCCCUCGAAUUCCUGGGGAAUGGGAACGAGCUGGAAUGGGAAGAUGACACUCCUGUGGCCACGGCCAAGAACAUGCCUGGGGACAGCGCAGAUCUGUUUGGGGACGGCGGGACAGAGGAUGGGAGCGCAACCAACGGGCGGCUCUGGAGGACCGUCAUCAUUGGGGAGCAGGAGCACCGCAUCGACCUGCAGAUGAUCAAACCCUACAUGAGGGUGGUGACGCACGGAGGGUACUACGGAGAAGGACUCAAUGCCAUCAUCGUCUUCGCUGCCUGCUACCUGCCAGACAGCAACCUGGCUGAUUACCACUAUAUCAUGGAGAACCUCUUCCUCUACGUGAUCAGCAGCCUGGAGCUGCUGGUGGCUGAGGACUACAUGAUCGUGUACCUGAACGGAGCGACGCCGCGGAGGAGGAUGCCGGGGCUGGGGUGGCUGAAGAAGUGCUACCAGAUGAUAGACAGACGGCUGCGGAAGAACCUCAAAGCCCUGAUCAUUGUGCAUCCCUCGUGGUUCAUCCGGACGGUGCUGGCUAUUUCCAGGCCCUUCAUCAGCGUGAAGUUCAUCAAUAAGAUCCAAUACGUUCACAGCCUGGAGGAACUGGAGCAGCUCAUCCCUAUGGAGCACGUCCAGAUCCCAGACUGCGUCUCACAAUUUGAAGAAGAGAGGAUCAAGGCCAGGAGAGAAAGGGCAGAAGAGAAACAAGACGUGGCUGAAAGGGAAAGCAGGCCUGUGCCCCCUGCAGAGGAUCAAGAAACCAGCAUGCCAUGAAUCGAGGCAGCGCGGGACAAAGGGAGCAGAGAGCGACGCAGCCCAGCACUCCCCCCUGGAAAUGACCUUUGGGUAGAAGACCUUUCCACCGCCCAGCUCUGAGCUCUGUAAGGUCACGGGGCCUCCCCUCUCUGCACAACGCAAAGUCCUCCAAACUUCUGGAAAACAUUUGACUUUUCAACAACAACAAGAAAUAUCUCCAAGGAUAGCACGUUUUUUUUUCAGGAUGGGUUCCAUCGUGUCCAGCAAUGGUCUGCACAGAGCUCGGAGCAAACAGAGACUCCACCUCCUCGCAGUGAGCAAAGAGCAUCCCGCAGUCCAUUUGCCCACAGACAGAUCUGUUUUUCUUUUCAGACCCCGCUCACUGCGACACUCUGCUGCCCCGGGGGAUCGCUAAUGCAAGAAAUGAAAAGAGUCCAUUUUCCCCCUUGCUAUCCCUUUAUUUUCCCCCUGUAAAUGCCAAGUGCCCACCGCUCCUCCCAGCCUUGACCUCCGUUCAUCUGCUGCCAGUUCUUAUUAACUCGUAGUGAGCCGUUGCUGUGGGUAGAUGCUGUGUUUUUACCAUACUCAUUCUGCCUCCGUAGGGCCCUGGUAGCUUUGGGAAGGGUCCCACAGAGCCUCCCUGUGAGCUUCUCCUCAUGUCACACGCAGUGGUCAGAAGGAGCCCUGCAGACAGGAGUGCUUCCUAUGCCUCUGUGUUGGCUUCAUGCCCUCGGACAAUCCUCCAUCACCGCUCCCUUGGUGGAUUCCCACUGCCGAGGGUCAGGAACGCGCCGUGUGUCCUGGGGAGCACAGACCCCUCGGUACAGACAGAUCCACGUGCAGGGAUGGAGGAGAAAGUUGGGAUGUGAUGUGGGACUGUGCUGCCUGGUGCCGGGGCUCAGGAGGGCUUUGGGAGCAGAAGGGAGGAGAGCAUGUUGGAAAUGAGGACGUGGUGAAGGCACUUGAAGAUGCUGCUCUUGUCACAGCGAGCUCACACGCAGCACACCGGGCAGAGCCCUGCACCAACAAGCGAGGAUGGAGACCUGUGGGUCCCACACCCAGCCACCCCAACCCACAGCAAUCCAAAGUUAACCACGGAUUUCUGUGAGCAUCAUGAUGGGCCCCACUGGCAAGGGGAAUUCUGCACAGCAGAGAAGGACUGAACAGCACUGCGACAUCGGGGCAGCCGCUCCAGAUCCUGUGGGCUUCAGAUCAUCCCAUAAGCACUGGGGAUCUCCCUGUAGUAGGGUGGGAAUUUGCCAUCUCCUGUCGAUAACACUGAGGUUGUCCUUCUGUGGUUUUGGACCAUUUUAAUGCAUUUAGACAAAAAAAAAAAAGAAGAAGAAGAAAAAGAAACAGAAAAAACAGAACUGCUGUGCUUACACAAAAGAGUGCAAUUGGACGUUGGGAGUGGAGUUAGCAACCCCAUGGGUGGGAUGUUGGAUAGCAUCAAAGCUCAGCUCCCAAACCCCUUCUGACAUCUGUAGUUAUUAAGAACUCCAGUGAAGAAUGUUUGAAACACAAUGGGAAACCGUGCUGCCACAGAGCACGGGGCAGUGAGGAAUGUAGAGGACGUGUGGUGCUGGGACCACUUCACAGUGCUGACGUCCCACAGUCCAUGAAAUGCAGCACUUCAUGACCCCUAAGGACACGGUUUGGGGUUUUGUUGUUGGUUUGUGGGGUUUUUUUCCUCCUUUUUCAAUUCUUUUCCAAAGAACAGACUCUGGGUCUAUGACUUCAGCAAAGCUGCAGGCCUGAAGAUGAUGUGUCCUGGGUUUCCAGGAGAUUCCUUUGGGCUGAGAGUUCCCUCUGAGGAUGCACAGACUUAAUAUGAGAUGCAUAAGAAGUGGUGUAAACACGAGUCCAUUCGCAACUUCUUUUUCCAAAAGGGCACUUUCUGAUGGAGCACGUGGGAUGCACCUUAUUUUAAUUUUUCACAAGAUGUCUGGAUUGCAUCAGCCUUCUGCUCCUGGAUGGACGUCUGUGUAGCUUUUCAGCACGGAAGAGAACGUUCAGCCCAUAGCGGUGUGGGCACAGCCAAUGGGUGAGGGCUCAGCUCAGCCCACAGUGGGUGCGGGUGCCCCAUAUCCACAAUGGAUACAGGCACAGCCAAACCCAUAUGGGAUACAGGUACAGCUAAAUGUGAAAAGUUUUGGUAGCAACGAAAAACGUAUCACUGACUUGUUGUUUUGGAGAGCAAUUCAGAUGCUCAGCGAAACUCUUUGCUGAGGACACAGCAGUGGGGUUGGCAGCGUCCCAUAAUUAACUGCGCUGCAAUGCUGAUGGCUUUAGGGCUGGUAGAGCAGCACAGGCUUCAACACAUUGCCAUGGGGUGGCCAAGGGAUGGGCAGAGGGGCAAACGGGUGCAACAGCAGCUGCACCUGGCUGAAAAUGCUGUCAGAAAUUCACGUCCUGCUGUCACAGAGGUGAGAGGUUGAUGGUAACUCUGGAGGACAGCGGACAAAAAUUGGGGACAGGUGAUGGGGAAUUGGUGAUGCGGAGCUGCCAGCCCUGAUGAUGGGACUCACCGACCAUAAAGCAGUUGACAAGGGGCCAAGAGGAAUCCAGAGUGACUGCAGACACACUUUUUUGCUGUUUCAUAGAGCGCUGUGAUCGGAAUCAAUGUACGGAAGGUCUGGUGCUGAUGUUUCCACCGGAGUGCAGAUUGUAGGAGAUCCUCAGAGCAAAUCUGCUCUACCAGAAGAUAUAGAAUUCACAGAAUCACAGAAUGACAGAAUUGUAGGGGUUGGAAGGGACCUCCAGAGAUCAUCGAGUCCAACCCCCCUGACAAAGCAGGUUCCCUACACAGUUGAGCAGUGGUUGACCAACAGCUGGCCAAUGGUUGACCACAAACCAAGAUCUGCGCCCCAGCAGCCACGAAGGCCAACAGUUGACCAAUAAUUGACCAACAGUUGGCCACAGGUUGACCACAAGCCAGCAGGGCAUCCCAGCAACCAUGAAGGCCAGCAGCGUCCCAGGUGACCAACGGUUGGCCAAGGGAUGGCCAACAGACAACCACAAGCCUGCAGAGCGUCCCAGUGGCCAAAAAGACCAACAGCAGCCCAGCUGACCAACAGCUGGCCGCCCAACGUCCCACCCGACCCC
Molecule: RNA transcript, 4508 nt
Organism: Tympanuchus pallidicinctus (lesser prairie-chicken)
Lineage: Eukaryota; Metazoa; Chordata; Aves; Galliformes; Phasianidae
Gene: ATCAY
Gene name: ATCAY kinesin light chain interacting caytaxin
Exons: 14
Source: RefSeq, a predicted model, not a curated record